Molecule: ribosomal RNA, 400 nt
Filed under: uncultured bacterium
Lineage: Bacteria
Description: bacterial SSU rRNA
Rfam family: Bacterial small subunit ribosomal RNA
Source: RNAcentral
GGGGAAUAUUGCACAAUGGGGGAAACCCUGAUGCAGCAACGCCGCGUGAGGGAAGAAGGUCUUCGGAUUGUAAACCUUUGUCCUUGGUGACGAUAAUGACGGUAGCCAAGGAGGAAGCUCCGGCUAACUACGUGCCAGCAGCCGCGGUAAUACGUAGGGAGCGAGCGUUGUCCGGAUUUACUGGGUGUAAAGGGUGCGUAGGCGGCUCUGCAAGUCAGGUGUGAAAACUAUCGGCUUAACUGAUAGACUGCAUUUGAAACUGUGGAGCUUGAGUGAAGUAGAGGCAGACGGAAUUCCCGGUGUAGCGGUGAAAUGCGUAGAGAUCGGGAGGAACACCAGUGGCGAAGGCGGUCUGCUGGGCUUUAACUGACGCUGAGGCACGAAAGCAUGGGGAGCAAAC